CCGAAGAUGAAAAGGAAGAAGGGAGAAGGUCCAUGUGUGCACCCCUCACUCUUAAACCUUCCCUGGUCACCCUGACCUCGAAGGCAUGGUCCGGCAUCCCUGUAACCAGCCCCUAGCAGGUGUGGUUAUGGUGUCCCCUACAGUAACUCCAGGAACCUCCACACUGAUUUCCAUGGUGACGACACCACCCGAACUUGCACCAACAAUCUGGCUGUAGAACCUACAAGCUCCUUCUCCAGCACCAUGUCUGCCUGCAUGCUACCAUGCUUCCUGCCAUCAUGACUAAAUGGACUAAACCUCUUACCUG
RNAcentral lists this long non-coding RNA (307 nucleotides) under Cricetulus griseus (Chinese hamster). Its description in RNAcentral is "lncRNA (ENSCGRG00015038108.1)". The record is from RNAcentral. Lineage: Eukaryota; Metazoa; Chordata; Mammalia; Rodentia; Cricetidae.